This 397-nucleotide ribosomal RNA is filed under the name uncultured bacterium. RNAcentral describes it as "partial 16S ribosomal RNA". It matches the Rfam family "Bacterial small subunit ribosomal RNA", at positions 523 to 918 of the family's 1533-position model. The record is from RNAcentral.
AUACGUAGGUGACAAGCGUUAUCCGGAUUUGCUGGGCGUAAAGGGCGUGUAGGCGGUCUUGCAAGUCAGAAGUGAAAUUCCUGAGCUCAACUCGGGCGCUGCUUCUGAAACUGCAGGACUUGAGUGCUGGAGGGGAUAGCGGAAUUCCUAGUGGAGCGGUAAAAUGCGCAGAUAUUAGGAAGAACACCGGUGGCGAAGGCGUCUUUCUGAACAGAAACUGACGCUGAGGCGCGAAAUCGUGGGGAGCAAACAGGAUUAGAUACCCUUGUAUUCCACGCCGUAAACGAUGAAUAUUAAGUGUAGGGGGUAUCGACGCCCUCUGUGCCGCAGUUAACACAAUAAGUAUUCCGCCUGGGGAGUACGGCCUCAAGGUUGAAACUCAAAUGAAUUGACGGGG